UUUCUCUCCUUAUACAUUUUGUUCUUAUGUUUUGAAUUUAUUUCUUUAAUUUGUUUAUACCAUUAGGAUCAAUGGUAUUUAAGCUGGGGGGUAGAAAAAAUCUCUUGAAAUUUUUGAAAAAUUUUUUGGAUAUUCUUUUGAAAAUUUUUUAUAAAAAUCUUUUGAACUUUAAAAGAAAACUUUUCUUUUAAACCACGUGUC
RNAcentral lists this long non-coding RNA (201 nucleotides) under Elaeis guineensis (African oil palm). RNAcentral's name for it is "long non-coding RNA (EGUI_LNC027705)". The record is from RNAcentral. Lineage: Eukaryota; Viridiplantae; Streptophyta; Magnoliopsida; Arecales; Arecaceae.